Molecule: ribosomal RNA, 412 nt
Filed under: uncultured bacterium
Lineage: Bacteria
Description: bacterial SSU rRNA
Rfam family: Bacterial small subunit ribosomal RNA
Source: RNAcentral
GUCGAGAAUCAUUCACAAUGGGGGAAACCCUGAUGGUGCGACGCCGCGUGGGGGAAUGAAGGUCUUCGGAUUGUAAACCCCUGUCAUGUGGGAGCAAAUUAAAAAGAUAGUACCACAAGAGGAAGAGACGGCUAACUCUGUGCCAGCAGCCGCGGUAAUACAGAGGUCUCAAGCGUUGUUCGGAAUCACUGGGCGUAAAGCGUGCGUAGGCUGUUUCGUAAGUCGUGUGUGAAAGGCGCGGGCUCAACCCGCGGACGGCACAUGAUACUGCGAGACUAGAGUAAUGGAGGGGGAACCGGAAUUCUCGGUGUAGCAGUGAAAUGCGUAGAUAUCGAGAGGAACACUCGUGGCGAAGGCGGGUUCCUGGACAUUAACUGACGCUGAGGCACGAAGGCCAGGGGAGCGAAAGGGA